This 373-nucleotide ribosomal RNA is filed under the name uncultured organism. RNAcentral describes it as "partial 16S ribosomal RNA". It matches the Rfam family "Bacterial small subunit ribosomal RNA", at positions 527 to 896 of the family's 1533-position model. The record is from RNAcentral.
GUAGGUGGCAAGCGUUGUCCGGAAUUAUUGGGCGUAAAGCGCGCGCAGGCGGUUCUUUAAGUCUGAUGUGAAAGCCCACGGCUCAACCGUGGAGGGUCAUUGGAAACUGGAGAACUUGAGUACAGAAGAGGAAAGCGGAAUUCCACGUGUAGCGGUGAAAUGCGUAGAGAUGUGGAGGAACACCAGUGGCGAAGGCGGCUUUCUGGUCUGUAACUGACGCUGAGGCGCGAAAGCGUGGGGAGCAAACAGGGAUUAGAUACCCUGGUAGUCCACGCCGUAAAUGAUGAGUGCUAAGUGUUAGGGGGUUUCCGCCCCCCUUAGUGCUGCAGCUAACGCAUUAAGCACUCCGCCUGGGAGUACGGCCGCAAGGCUG